AACAGCACAUUUCUUUAUGUGGCCAGUUGUCUAUGUUCUGGUUUUAAUUGUAAUUUAUAUUGUUGCACUGUAUUAAUGCGUGCUGUCUCCGGGUCAAGGAAGGAAAGAGGUUCUCAACUGGUGGGUUGUGGGGCCAUUGUCUAAGGGUCACAGAUGUGAGUGCUGUCUUGAUGUUUGCAAACCUUUGGAAAAUAUUUUAUUGAAAAAUAUAUAUUUUUUAAAUAAAAGUGUUGAAUUAAACAAUUGCCUAUUUUUUGUGUCAUGUGUAAUUGUUUCAAUACACAAAAACAUUGAGAACACAUUUAGGCAAUCUAAACUGCAGAAAAUUAUGUAAAAUGUUGUGUAAAUGUUACUUACAUAUAGUCUAUAAAUAAAAGUUAUUUUAGUAUUUAAAAUAACCUUGAAAAGCCAUUGAUUUUUAGGUGAGAUUUUUAGUUUGAAGCAUUUAGAGUCUUGAGUAAAACUUACAAAGAAGGUCAGAGUAAAAUUCAAUGUCCAUAUUAAUAAUAAUCAGUCAAUUACUUGAGGUUUGCUAGUAAAAGUAACUUACAUCCUGCAAGUAAGGUUUACUUGAUGAUCGUCCUUGUAGAAUUUACUUCACUUUCUAAGUGCAAAAACUUCCCUAAGUUUUAUUAAGUAAAUAUACUAACGCUCAAUAACUCAACAUCAUUGUUGUUUAAAUUCAUUGAAGUCAACAAAUAAUGAAGAACAUGAAAUUCUCUUUGGUCAGAAGAAAAGAAAACGGAUUCAUUUGAUUUAUUUUUUAUCAAAAUGUAUUUAUUAUUGUUUAGAUAAUAAUCACAUGACAUUACUUACAUGAUACAAUAACACACAUACAAACAAUUACAAUAAUAACAACACAAUGAUUGGGCGAAAAUCUGAAGCAGUUCCUGAGAAGAAAGAAAAGAAGAAAAGUUAAUGACAUGUUAAUGUUGUUAGUGUGUCUGCGUGUAGAACAACGUGUUAGUGUGUAUUUGUGUAAUUAUAUAUGUUAGUGUGUUUUUGUGUAGAACAAAAUGUUAGUGUGUACAUCUAAAUAUUAAUGAUCUACUGUAUGUGUACAUCGAAAUAUUAAUGAUCUAUGUGUACAUCUAAAUAUCGAUGUGUCUAUGUGUGUCUAAAUAUUUAUGAUCUAAGGCUGACUCCCAGCCGCCGUCCUCCUCUUCUUCAUCAAAUUCACCUUCCAUUUAACAACAGUCAACCAGAUCGUAUGUAUUUUACCUGAGCAGACAGCUAUGUUCUGAAAGUUUAUACUAACCUUCCAGAGAAAAUGUUUGUGUCCACGAGCUUAUGUUAGCCUCGCAGAAUCUAUGUAUGC
Molecule: long non-coding RNA, 1318 nt
Organism: Gasterosteus aculeatus aculeatus (three-spined stickleback)
Lineage: Eukaryota; Metazoa; Chordata; Actinopteri; Perciformes; Gasterosteidae
Source: Ensembl